AUCAUACUCCCUUGUCCGGAAAUACUUGUCAAAGAAAUGCAUAAAAAUGAAUGUAUCUAGAACUAAAAUACAUCUAGAUAUAUCCAUUCCUCCGACAAGUAUUUUCGAAGGAAGGGAGUAUAAC
Non-coding RNA from Triticum aestivum (bread wheat), 124 nucleotides. Lineage: Eukaryota; Viridiplantae; Streptophyta; Magnoliopsida; Poales; Poaceae. The record is from Rfam.